RNAcentral lists this ribosomal RNA (156 nucleotides) under Coccomyces proteae. Its description in RNAcentral is "5.8S ribosomal RNA". It matches the Rfam family "5.8S ribosomal RNA". From Rfam's summary of the family: 5.8S ribosomal RNA (5.8S rRNA) is a component of the large subunit of the eukaryotic ribosome. It is transcribed by RNA polymerase I as part of the 45S precursor that also contains 18S and 28S rRNA. Functionally, it is thought that 5.8S rRNA may be involved in ribosome translocation. The record is from RNAcentral. Lineage: Eukaryota; Fungi; Ascomycota; Leotiomycetes; Rhytismatales; Rhytismataceae.
AACUUUCAACAACGGAUCUCUUGGUUCUGGCAUCGAUGAAGAACGCAGCGAAAUGCGAUAAGUAAUGUGAAUUGCAGAAUUCAGUGAAUCAUCGAAUCUUUGAACGCACAUUGCACCCUCUGGUAUUCCGGAGGGUAUGCCUGUUCGAGCGUCAUU